RNAcentral lists this ribosomal RNA (252 nucleotides) under uncultured bacterium. RNAcentral describes it as "partial 16S ribosomal RNA". It matches the Rfam family "Bacterial small subunit ribosomal RNA", at positions 524 to 776 of the family's 1533-position model. The record is from RNAcentral.
GACGGGGGUCCUAGCGUUGUUCGGAAUCUUUGGGCGUAAAGCGUGUGCAGGUGGUUUGGAAAGUUGGAUGUGAAAGCCUUGGGCUUAACCCAAGAAGUGCAUUCAAAACUCCCAAACUUGAGUAGGGAAGAGGGUCGUGGAAUUCCAGGUGUAGUGGUGGAAUACGUAGAUAUCUGGAGGAACACCGGUGGCGAAGGCGGCGACCUGGUCCUAUACUGACACUCAUACACGAAAGCGUGGGGAUCAAACAGG